RNAcentral lists this transfer RNA (59 nucleotides) under Galeopterus variegatus (Sunda flying lemur). RNAcentral's name for it is "tRNA-Ser". Lineage: Eukaryota; Metazoa; Chordata; Mammalia; Dermoptera; Cynocephalidae. The record is from RNAcentral.
AAGAAAGUCCUCAAGAACUGCUAAUUCUUAUAACCAUACCUAAAAAUAUGGCUUUCUUA